UGGGGAAUAUUGGACAAUGGGCGCAAGCCUGAUCCAGCCAUGCCACGUGAGUGAUGAAGGCCCUAGGGUUGUAAAGCUCUUUCACCGGUGAAGAUAAUGACGGUAACCGGAGAAGAAGCCCCGGCUAACUUCGUGCCAGCAGCCGCGGUAAUACGUAGGGGGCUAGCGUUAUCCGGAUUUACUGGGCGUAAAGGGUGCGUAGGUGGUCUUUCAAGUCGGUGGUUAAAGGCUACGGCUCAACCGUAGUUAGCCUCCGAAACUGGAAGACUUGAGUGCAGGAGAGGAAAGUGGAAUUCCCAGUGUAGCGGUGAAAUGCGUAGAUAUUGGGAGGAACACCAGUAGCGAAGGCGGCUUUCUGGACUGCAACUGACACUGAGGCACGAAAGCGUGGGUAGCAAACAGG
Molecule: ribosomal RNA, 403 nt
Filed under: Verrucomicrobiota bacterium
Lineage: Bacteria; Pseudomonadati; Verrucomicrobiota
Description: Verrucomicrobia bacterium partial 16S ribosomal RNA
Rfam family: Bacterial small subunit ribosomal RNA
Source: RNAcentral